AGAUGUUACAGCAGGCAGAUCCAAUUUUCUGCCACCGAAUACAUUAGCAUGGGAUAAUGGAAUAGGACCCUGUCCUCCUAUUUUCAGUUGGUUUUGGCAGCGCGAGGACUAGGGUAAUGAUUAAUAGGGAUAGUUGGGGGCAUUAAUAUUUAAUUGUCAGAGGUGAAAUUCUUGGAUUUAUGAAAGAUUAACUUCUGCGAAAGCAUCUGCCAAGGAUGUUUUCAUUAAUCAAGAACGAAAGUUAGGGGAUCGAAGACGAUCAGAUACCGUCGUAGUCUUAACCAUAAACGAUGCCGACCAGCGAUUAGGAGACGUUGAAUACAAAACACCACCAUCGGUGCGGUCGUCCUUGGCGUCGGUUUCGGCCGGCGCGGGGGCGGCUUAGCCCGGUGGCACCGGUGAAUGACUCCCCUAGCAGCUUGUGAGAA
This 428-nucleotide ribosomal RNA is filed under the name Acanthamoeba genotype T4. RNAcentral's name for it is "SSU rRNA". It matches the Rfam family "Eukaryotic small subunit ribosomal RNA", at positions 770 to 1096 of the family's 1831-position model. Lineage: Eukaryota; Discosea; Longamoebia; Acanthamoebidae. The record is from RNAcentral.